CUUAUACCUCAUAAUAGCAGGUGCUGAGACUGGCCCAGAAUUAAAGCUCAUAAACUUAUGAAUUUAAGUGCAGUCCCUCUUUCCCUUUGACAGCUUGCUCUCUAAAGUCUUUCUCCAUCAUUUCUGCUUCUCAAAUUUUUGUAGUUGUCCAUUACUAUGGGCUUUCAGUACAUUCUCCACUUACCUCAGAUUAUUUCACUCCCAUAACGUAUGUACAGCUGGUGGCGUAGGGGCCAGCUGUAGCCAACAAAUAUAUUUUCUUCGACAUGCUAUGUGGGCCUACAUGGGGUGGACCAAAAACAUUUGAACUAGUUGCUACCAUUGAAGUCAGAAGCUUUCACAUAAAAUCUAGACUUUUGACUUCUUCAUUGCUCUUAAAAAUUCGUCUAGCAACACUGGAUCCCAACCGAUUAGAGUUCAGAAAUAUCUUUUAGAUGGGGCAUGCACAGUUUAAUUUGUCAUUGUCUCCACAGAUCUGUGCUUGUUUUACUUAUAUUACUGGCCCAGACCCUGAAGACAUUAACUCUGUAACCUCUGUUCUAACCUUUGGAAUUUACCACCCGUUGGCUCCACUUCUCUCUUCAUACAUUUAUCAGAGUCCAGAGAGAGCCACAUGUCCAUACUGGGCUUCCUAGCUUUGGGUGGAGGACGAAACAGAAGCUCUUUGAAGAUAACUUCCUUCCUGAGUUUUUGAUAUCCAGAAACCUAAGCUCAAGAGGGUAUUAUGUUUUGGAGAAUUGAACCAGUAAUUAAAGAAAGAGAUAAAAGAUGGAGAUCAAGGAAGAGGAAAAACAAAGAUCAAGGUAAUCCAAAUUUCAGUUCAGCCCCUGGAUUAGUGAGCACGGACCACACUUCUUGAUUAGAACUCAGGAGAAGGAUGAAUUGCAGCCACAUCUAUAUUUCCAGUGCCUCCUCUGUCUUCCUUUUUGACCUCUUUGCCUCUCUUUUCUCAUAGGCUUAGAGUACAUUUAUGUCUGUUACCAACAAAAAAAUGGGCCUGGGUGACACUGGAACCAAGGAGAAGAGAACCUAAGAAUUCUCAACCCCCAAAUACACUGAUUUCUCCAUUUCCUCUGAGGUUUCCCACUAGAUCUUUUGAAAGUUCUCAAUAGGAAGAUAGUUUGUUAGUGUUGCAGAAGAAUUCGGUAAACCACCGAUUUCCAAUCCUUCUUGGUCCAAGACCAGUGCCUAAGACAGGCCAUUCCUCCAGAACACCAGGGGGAGCUGUUGUGCUGCCUCGUCCUGGCACCAAAAUUGUUCCAGGCGGGGCCUGGAGAUAGACACAUAUAUCCAAACCAUCAAGACAUGAGGACUUUAGGACAUACUAGUCACAGGGAGCAGAAUGUUUGAAAUUGGGAGGGUCCUAGAGUUUCCAGAACUAUGGUGGCCAGUGGCGCAUGGGGGAAAAUGUAGUUUCUGUCACACGUAUGUUCUGUCACCCCUGCAAACUUCUCCCUCUGAGUACAACCACUCACUGUGCUUUGUUUCGGGAUGAAAUCUACAGAUAAAACAGGUGAAAAGUGAAGUCCCCUAAAGUAAUAAAGAGAGAGCAUCUUGGAGGGGAAGAGAUGCAGACAGAAAUACCUCUGCCAUAAUAUAGCUCAUAUUCCAUGUCUCCCAAUUCUUGGAAUGUUUUAUUCCUUAAUAUUUUCCAAGGGCCCAGACCUGUGGUUGGAACAAUAGAUGCUCAGCAAAUACUUAUUGAAGGAAUGACUCCAGUUCCAGGGUUAGUCCUGCCCCUCUCUGAUCACUUGGUCCCUCUGGGAUUGUUUCCUUGUCUGCCAAUGGGUGCUGGUGGGCAGGAGGAGAAAGUGAGGUUGUACUAGCUAAUCACUGGGGUCCUCUCGAUUGGGGAUGUUCUAUAGUUUCCAUAUUCAAGGGCCUGGUUAGUUAAGUGUCUUAAGCAGGGCUCUUCUUUAUUGUUUCCUAGAAUAAACCAACCCAUAUAUGAAAGAGAAACGGUGCUAUUCCUGAGUGCACAUCAGAGUAUGGGCAUGUUGAAUCAAAACAAAAGAUCUCUUUUUAAGUUUUGGCUCAGUCCUCUGUUCAUUUCCAGGUGCCCCUGGAACUCACACGCGCUGCAGGUAAUGUGAUUCUAAUGUCUCUGUAGGUGAACAAAUUUAAUCUCUUUCUGCACGGCGGCCCCCAGUUUGGCUGGGCCAGUGCUCCUUCCUGUUUGCUUUCUGUUUCUCUGUAGGCUUCCUACUCCUAUUGGCAUCACUUAGCAAUGCUCGUUCACCCUGGCAGUUCUUGCCAGUAGCAGCCGGUGUUCCGGUUUGCAGUUUUUCCAACACAUCCAGAACCAGGCUCAUUGUUUCCCAACAGAAACACCACCACCAGUUGGCUGGCACCCCCUUCUCGGGGUCUGGGUGCCAUCUCCACAGGGCCCUCUGACUGCAGAGCGGUAGGCCUUUCACACGGCUGCAUUUCAGCUCUGUGGGUGUCUUCCUCCAAGCUUUUAAGUUUUAAUAAUUCUAAUACUCUCUUUUGUUCCCCUAGACUAAGAGAGUUAGCUGAUUCCUCUAAUUGCUACUCUUUGAUAUUUUAAUUUUCCCUUUGGCCUUUUCUGUCUUAGUGCUGAGUUAAUAAUUCUUUAUAUUAAAUUCUCCAUGUUAAAAUGACUGGUGUGGUUUCUGUCUCCCAAGACUAGAUCUUGACUGAUACAGAUCUAGAACAAGGGAGCCAGAGGUCAUGACCUCCCAGGCAUGCUAAGCUUUACGCUUGUGUGCAGGUGAAGUGGGUUCAAUCGGCCAAAGGUAGUCCUGCAAAGGGGAGUCGCCUGGGGCCCUGGGGUGGAAAAACACACCAAGGUUGGAGGAGCACGCAAAGACCCCAAAAGUGGAUCCCAGGGGAUCUGUACAGAGUCCUGGUGGUUUCUGCUACAUGGACAUAGAAAAUGCCAGGUUACAACACCCCAAGGCUCGGGGGCCAGCUGGUGAUUCAGGCAAUUGGUGCUCUGGGAGCUCAGGGAAGGGAAACACCAGUCAAGUCAAGGAGAAUCCGAAAGUUCCCUAGAGAGGUAGACAGAGAGAGGCGAACAGCGCUUUCCAGGCUGGAACACUGGUGACAAGAAUGGUCGAGGCACAUUGAGGGGCACAGAUUUGGCUCCAGGGAGGCCUCGUACACCAGGCCAAGGAAAUUGCUUGGGGCUUUGCUUCCGUAUGUUGGUAUCAUAUCACAACGUCAUCCUUAAAAGUCACAUAUAAAUGACUCACCUGCUGUGUACACCACCCACUAGGUGCCAGGAACAAGUUAGGGUUGAAACAAAAAGAUGUGCUUGCUCAAGAAAGGGAUCGGUCUUCCCUGGACAAGCUUUAGAUGAGCCUGGGAUGGCACCUUGGCUGCUGGCUCCUCUUGGAAGAAACAUCUGACUUGGUUUAUUUUUUAGAUAAAUUUGCAAUUGAUGAUGGGAUGUCAGACAGUAGGAGGUGUUUGGAUGUAUGAUCUGUAGAAAUGGGCCCUUCAGAUUUGCACUCCAUGUCUUCUUGGUUCCCUAAGCUAAACAUGAGCAGUUGGGCACACCUUGUCUGAACUACUCCUUAUCUCUCCUAGAUCCAGGCAUGGACAGGAUACAUGAUCUCCACACACAGAUUUUCCAGGAUGGUCCCAAGAGCGAAUAAGUUGGUUUGGGAAGUGUGGUCACAGUGGCCUUGCGCCAUACUGUCAAAAGGCACGGGUCCUCCUCUCAGGAAGCCUGUGCUUUAGUGAGUGAAGCUGCUUUGUUUUAUGACUUGGUGCUUUCACAGCCAAUGCACGUGGCCACCACAGAGGUACAAACACAUGAGCGAUCCUGACAUCUUUCCUUGAUCCCAUGGGAAGAGGAUGGGUAUGAAAAAGGGCAAAUGAAGGGGGUGUGGUGGUGAGGGGGCAGCUUGGAGAAAUGGAGAGUUUUCAGCUCCCCACGUGUGGUAAGUGGGUCCAGCGGGCAUGCUCCCUUAGGAAGAAGGAAGCUUGGAGAACCAGCCUUCAUUCUGUCACUGUCACCUUCUUCAGCUCCUCUUGGUCUCAUGUCUGGUGGGAGGGAGAGUGCGCUGCAGAACCACUUGGGAGAAGUGGAGCAUCCUUACUCUCAGUUCCAAACUCUGCUCGGCGCAGACGGGGUUCCGGACCAAAAUCCGCAUUUGUCCUUGACUGGGUAGCUGUGAACUGAGCAACCACAAAGUCGGUGGGGGCAAGUGGAGGAAGAGAAGUUCCAAAGAGACAACAGAAGAACUUGCAGGGGUGAGGCAGGAGAAAAGAUGAGCAGAGGAGAAAAGAUAGCCUUGCAGAGGUGAGAGGCACAGGGGUGGGGAGACUGGAGGAAGGAGGGAGGAGGAAAGGCAGGAGACAGCACGCCAGGACCUUUGUUCUCUGCCUCUUGGGGUGCAGGAGGCUGGAGUGGGCCAGACAAAGGCUCGGCUCCCUUUGUCUUUGCUGGCACUGGAGGGUCUCCUCAACCCCAAGGCUCUCGGGUCCUGGGUGGGCAGGGAAGGAGGCUGCGGGAGGGAGGGGCUGGGAGCUCUACCUGGGAGGCCUGGUUUGCCUCUUGGGCCCAGGAGUCACUGCAGCCUCGGGGGAGAGGGGUCCUGGGCCCCUCCCACCGCGGAGCGCUACCUGCCAGCCCUGCUUGCUGUGCAAGCAGGCGGAUCUCUCCUUUCCACGGUGCAGACUUGCAAGCCUGUUGUCUGCCUAAAUUUUUUCUUCCCCUCCUAGCUCCCCCCUCUUCUAAUUCUCAGAACUCACUCCCAUUGGAUUCCAGGAAAUGGCUGGUGCAACUUUGUAACCAAAUCCCCUGAAUCCUUUUGUAUACCGUGUCCGCUCCUCUGCCCCUCUGCAGUGCCCUUCACGGCUAGGUCCGGUUACAGAGAACAACUGUCCAGGCCAGGCUGGCCCUGAGACUCUCCAGGGAUCCCGCAGCUUCCGGGGGCCCUCCCCCCUCACUACUGGCCCGCCGGCCCUCCUGAGGGAGCGGAACUGUGGAGGCAAAUGCCCUGAAGCCCCAGACCUUGCCUCACACCCACCUCCCGAGUGAGUGUGCAGGGGGAGGAGGGUCCAUCUUGACAUGACCCUAAGGUGUGGCUCCCCGCGGGGCUCCCCAGCCUGGCCUCUGUCCUCCCUCCCUGACUCUUCUCUAGGGGUUGUGGGCUCUGGGACAGAUGGUCAGAGGACAUGCUUCCAUCAUCCUCAGAGAAAUCUCUGGUGUCUAACCCGGCUGAGGGCUGCAGUUUCCUUUUCUGCACCUUCCUCAUCUAGAUCCUUCCUCUUCUCUGUGGGAAUACUUUUGACCACGUCUUAUUCUACGAGAGAUGGGGAUGGACUCACUCAGGGUUAGCAAGCUUUUUCUGUAAAGGAACAGACAGUAAAUAUUUUAGUCUUUGCAGGGCCACAUCCAUAGAUGACAUCUUCCUUUCUUUUUCCACCUUGCCAUGCCCCCCGCCCCCCACAACUAUUUAAAAAUGUUAGGAAAAAAAAUCCUUGUUCAAAGGCUGUAUAAAGACAGGCCGCAGCCAGAUUUGGUCAUAGUUGGUUGACCCUUGGACUAGACGAUCUCUCUUACCUGCUGAAAAUGUCUUAAAAAUUUGUUCUGGGCCUAGACAGACCGAGCUGUGCUGACCUCUAACUCCUGUGUGCGUCAUCCUGGGAGUGUUGGCAAAGGGUGCCAGAAUCCAAUAAGUUUGGGAAACAGAGCCCUUCCCAUACGACUUCACAGAGCCUUUACUGUGUCAAGGGGAACCGACUCUCUCCCAGACUGCAGGAGUUUGCAGUGUGUUUGUCUGUAGAGCUGGCUUUGUGUUCUGCGAAAUACCCUUGGAGAAGCAUUUUCUAGAUGAAUCUUCUCCUAGCUUUGCCUUUGACUUCGAAGAAUCUAAUUUUCAUACGGAGUUCGGACCCUGUCCCCAGCAGCACUUAGCACGGUCGCUAGGAGGACACACCUAUUCACUGAGCAGCCUCCUCCCGCCGGGCGGAAGGGGCAGCAGGCUCUCCAGGCGAAAGAGGUCUGGACCUUGUGUGUGGAGGCAGGGAGGUGCCCAAGAGCCUGGAUGGGGCAGCAUGUGGGGAGUGUUGGCCCAGGCCCCAGGUGAUUUGAAUCAGGGUGUUUUCUAUUCCCCACCCAGAAGAGUUGGAGAACUCAUUCAUUAUCCCACUUGGAACACUGAGAGGUCCCCUCCAAGCCCAGCACCCCCAUGCGGGCACAUGCAGUCCGACCAGAGUCAGUGUUGCAAGAUAACUGACACUUUGAAUCACUGCGAACGCUCUACCUUUAUUGAGGAAUUGGACCAUCUUUGAAGCCACUGCUUUGCUUAUUGUGAUAAUGCGUGGUUAAGUAAAUCGAUAGGGCAGGCUUUCCCCACAUUGCCAAGAGGUGGAAACAGGAUCAGAGGCAUUUGUGGACUUUCCUCAGGCACUGAGUAAGUCCUUGGCUGGAACAGGGACCAAAAGCCCCUUUGCUGGUAUUGUGGCAGGAACCAGGGCUAAUGCCCAUUAAGGCCUCAUCUGCGAGGGAGGUCGGCUGAUGGACCAGAUGUGCCUCCCAGAUGUUCCUCCUAGGCUCAGCCUGUGUGGCAUGAGGGCCUAACCAAGGGGAUUUUUAAUCCCGGGGAAAAUGGUUGUCAUCCAGGGCUGGCUCAAAAACUGGCAAAGUCUGCUGUGAGUGAAACCAAGAAGUAGGGCCAAAAAGCAAAGAGAGGUUUCCAUGAGAUCCUGGGCAGCGGCCGUGGGGCGAGGUGGGGCUGCGGCCCGGAGUGAGGGCGGGCAGGGCCUGUCCACUCGUGUGGAGGCUGCCAGCAUGCUGGUCUGGGGCGUCCUUGCUGUGCUGUGGCUGACUGCAGUUCCUUCUCCUCUCUGGGUCUGUUUUCUCCUCCAUCGGCCUCCCUGCUCCAGAACUGGGAGGGAGAUAGAUCCAAGUACGUGAGGAGAAUAUCUGGCCAACAGUCAAAUUCAUGGCGGAGGCCAUGACUGUUACUGAGGGAGGUGAGUUUAGGAGGUGGCUGUCGGAAUGUCUGGAGGGCCCAGAGGAAACCCUGGAGCCCUGGGUGUGUUUAAACGUGUCUAUCAUUCUAGGCUCAGAGGAGUCUGCUCCUGCAGAACCUCAGUGGAGCGGAGGGGUUUUCUGCGGUUGAGGCAGGGAGGGCCCUGUAGCCCCAUCCCCUUCUGCCUCUCCAUCACCUCUCUCAGUGGUUUCUAAGGCAAGAUGCAGGAUCCUGGGGCUUCCAUGGAACACAGUUUAGAAAUCCCUGGGGAAGCCUAAUUAAUUCCACAAGUUAUCAGGCAAACUGGGGAACCUGUGCCUCAUAUGGGCUCUUGGGUGGCUCCAACUGCUCCCUCAGGAGUCUGGCCAAGAGCAGGGGGUUGGGAGGCCUGUUCAUUUGCCAAGCCAGGCCUGCUGCUCCACAGCCCAGGGGUCGGCCCUGCUGCUAGAAGGACGGAGGUGGGAGCUCCUACCAGGGCAGGUGCCACCAGUGACUGAGGAAUCCAUUUCCCUUGGGGGCCAGAGGGGUGAAGGGUUGACAGUGCAAAGAAGCAGGAGCUAAGCCAAGAAGAGCAGCCACUUCUCUGGGUCCUCUGACUUUCCCCACGUGGGUCCCAAUAAGCCAGACUUUGAAGCAGUACCCCACCACCACUCUGCAGAAUGCCAGACCCUUUGGAUCUUCACUCUAGGAGCCCCCCUCACUUUUUUUCCUUCCUUCCUUAGAGCAAGUUUGGCAAACAUUGCAGCCUGUAAGCCCUGUGGGAGACUCACGAUGCCCAAGAGCAUAGCCAGGGUCCGGAGAAGGCUUGCAUGAAAGAAACCAGUUCUUUGCAUAGCCAUGUCUCACUUUUCUUCGAGCAGCACCUGAUGAUUAUCCCCGGGGCUUGGAUUUUACGUCGAAUUCUCCUUAUGCUGAAGUCAAGUCUGUUCAUUCAUAGCAUCCUCCAUCACUGGGGCUCUUUGCUGUUUGUUGGGUCUCUCCCUUAAUAGGGUUUGAUCUCCACAAGAGCAGGGACUUUGUUUAACUGAGAACAGUGCUUGCACCCAGUGGACAGUCAAUAUUUGUUGAACAGAAGCAUCAGUGAGUGGCCUGGGUGCCAGAGAAGGCAGCAGUGUGGACCGUAUCUUUACCUGUGCCGCCCCCCCUGCUAGGAACGCCUCCCCUGUCCUCUGCUCCCCUAUUCCACGCCUAUCGCUUCUCUCCAGUCUCUGACUCACCCCGUCUAAGGAGUCUUCUUGGCUACCCACCACCUGCCACCGUCCAUCCUGGGCCACACUCCCUUGGACACCUGUUCCUACUUCAUCAGACCUUGCUUACUUGGCUUUCUUCUCUGGGUAAAUUAAGGAGAGCAGGUUCAAUUCAGGGAGCAGCCUGAAGGCUGAACUGUGAUGACCGAUUGGACCCAUCUGGGAUGGAUGCUGAAGAUAGAGACAAUCACAGGCCCUGAGCUCAGGGGCCCCCUGUCCAGUGGGGGUCAUCUCCCACUGGGUCCCCAGAGCCAACUGUUCAAUUUUCAGGGUUUUUUCAAGCCAGUUGCCAAACAUGGCCCUUUGCUAAAUCAGGGUUGAACUGCAACUGUAGGCUUGCUACAGAUACAAGGGUUUGGCAACAAUCCAGAAAAGCAUUCUCUGGGAAUCAAUUGGCUAUACAGAAUUGACAAUAAAG
This is a long non-coding RNA of Equus caballus (horse), 8615 nucleotides long. The record is from Ensembl. NCBI's taxonomy places the organism in Eukaryota, Metazoa, Chordata, Mammalia, Perissodactyla, Equidae.